UGGGGAAUAUUGGACAAUGGGCGAAAGCCUGAUCCAGCAAUGCCGCGUGUGUGAAGAAGGUCUUCGGAUUGUAAAGCACUUUCGACGGGGACGAUGAUGACGGUACCCGUAGAAAAAGCCCGGCUAACUUCGUGCCAGCAGCCGCGGUAAUACGAAGGGGCGUAGCGUUGCUCGGGAAUGACUGGGCGUAAAGGGCGCGUAGGCGGUUUACACAGUCAGAUGUGAAAUUCCAGGGCUUAACCUUGGGGCUGCAUUUGAUACGUGUAGAGCUAGAGUGUGAGAGAGGGUUGUGGAAUUCCCAGUGUAGAGGUGAAAUUCGUAGAUAUUGGGAAG
Molecule: ribosomal RNA, 333 nt
Filed under: uncultured Asaia sp.
Lineage: Bacteria; Pseudomonadati; Pseudomonadota; Alphaproteobacteria; Acetobacterales; Acetobacteraceae
Description: bacterial SSU rRNA
Rfam family: Bacterial small subunit ribosomal RNA
Source: RNAcentral